RNAcentral lists this unclassified non-coding RNA (1807 nucleotides) under Leguminivora glycinivorella. RNAcentral describes it as "malate dehydrogenase, cytoplasmic-like, transcript variant X5". Lineage: Eukaryota; Metazoa; Arthropoda; Insecta; Lepidoptera; Tortricidae. The record is from RNAcentral.
GAUAGGUUUAUAAUGAAUUUCCAAUGCGAUUCUCCGCUAGAGCCAUUACGAGUGCUAAUAAUUAAUGCAAAAUCUCCGGCAGCAAAAUUCCUUGCGGUUAAAAUCCUUUCAGGUGAAAUCUUUGGAAAGAAUCAACUCAUCGAUAUUGUACUCAUGGUUUUUACAAAUGAGCAAUCCAAGGCAACCAGUUUAAAAUUUGAAUUAGAAAAAUGUGCGUUUCCCUGCACCAACUCUAUCGAGAUUUCUUGCAAUUUGCCUAGCUUUUCAGAUGCAGAUGUGUUUUGCCUUUUAACAAAUUUUGAUAACCCUAAUACGUUGAAUUUUAACAAGGCGAAUGAUAACAAACAAUUCGACAUGUUAGAUUUGAUUAUAAAUGUAGCCAGUAACCUUGAAGAAUCGAUACCAGAAGUCCAGGCAGAAGAAACUGCUCAGAACAUUGAAAAGCACAAGAAAAAAACAAUUUUGCCCGAAAAGAAAGCCCGCAAGCCAAUAUUCAUCACGGACGGUUUUGUGUCUAUACAUAUUCUUCUGUCUUUAUCGAGUUUACCCUCUGAUAUAUUUUUUUGUCCUACACCUAUAGCGUCCAUCGCUAAAUCUGUUUUGGGCGAACAUCUAAAGGUCCAGUCCAAAGUCCUUAAUAACGUUCUCGUUUGGGCCGCGAAUGAUGAAAUAUUUCACGUGGAAUUUGAGAAACCACUGAUUCUUGAGGACAAAAUUGGCGGGGCGUCACCGUGUGACCGGGAAACUGUGGGCAAGAAUAUCCUGGCCUUAUCAAACUUAGACCACACGCAGUUCAGUUCUUCUUGGCUGAAAAAGGAUCUUAUAGCGAAGACUCUUGCAGUUGCCCGAAAGAAUCCUUACGGAAGUAUUUACAAGGCGGCAUUGAUUGCAAAAGCUUUGCAGCAGAUUUGGUGGGCGCGGCCAACGAAUUCGACACUUUACACUAAUAUGGGAGUGGUUAGCGACGGAUCUUUGGAGACUAUAAAAGGGUUUUCUUACGUAUUGCCCGUACAGUUUAGUGGUGACGGUUGGAGAGUAAAUGAUCGAUUUAAUGAAGAUGUUCAUCUCAAACAAGAAAUAAAAAGAAUAAACAAAGCAGUAAAAGGAUUUCAUGAAAAGUUGAUACCUUUUUGCAAGAAAAUGUUGUCGGAGUUGGGAGGUUCAUCUUUGCUUGUAGUGGAAGAAGAGGAAAGUCAAGAUGACACAACACGAAACACUGGAAAUCUGCAAAUGUAGUACAACAACAGCAAAUGGAACUAUUGGGGCAUUUUCGCGAGAACAAUCACCAAAAAUAUUUUUUCUAAGAGAUUCGGUCGAUAAAAUUGUCAAGAUGAAUGGUCUACGCCAACACCGGAACAUUAACGCUACCCCAGGGAAAUAUUCUUCGUGUUUUGUAGUAUUCGUGCGACACGAUUAAGUUUUAAAUUGCUCACCUGGUUGUCUAACAGGAUUUGAUGUUUUCGUACAUUGCGGAUUCAUCCUGUACUUUGUCCGUUAUUAAAGCUGCUGUGCAAUAAAAAUCUAUCUGUGUAAACCUAUCGCUUGGAAACAAACACAUGGAUGAAUGAGUCAGUGAAAUGAAAAUGUCGGCGACUAGAUAAUCCGAUGUGUUACCUACUGUAUGUACCUAAUAUGGAAAAUUUAUUAUUGGAUACGUGUCGACUUGUCGAGUGUUUGUAUCUUAUAACUUUUGUGCUGUUAUUUACUUAUAUAUUAUGUUUAUGUUGUAUGUUUUCUCUGCUUUGUAUUGUGCAGAAGCAGUAUCUAUGUACUACCUGUUAUAGAUUAUUAUCUUGACAUUGUAUAA